UCGCCCGCCGCGCGCGGCGGGCGGGGCGGGGGCACGGGGGGCCUACGGGAGGCAGCAGUGAGGAAUCUUCCACAAUGGGCGAAAGCCUGAUGGAGCAACGCCGCGUGCAGGAUGAAGGCCUUCGGGUCGUAAACUGCUUUUAUUAGUGAGGAAUAUGACGGUAACUAAGAAAAGUGCAC
Molecule: ribosomal RNA, 179 nt
Filed under: uncultured bacterium
Lineage: Bacteria
Description: partial 16S ribosomal RNA
Rfam family: Bacterial small subunit ribosomal RNA
Source: RNAcentral